CGCACGCUCUUCGGUAGCACAACACAGAUCCUUGCGAAGCACAACUACAAGCUUUCGCCGCGUUUGCCUCCGCGUGCUUCUGCGUUCUGCGCGGUGGCUGCCUGUGCGCGGUGUUGGUGUCGUUGGCGUUGAGCGUAUGAGGCCUCUGUUGCGUUGAGUGCUCUCUUUACGCGCCCACGGGUUCUCUGCGAGUGUGCUCUCAUGUUUUCCUACCAACGCAUCCCUAGUCCUGCGAACAAGAUGAAUCAUAUGCGGCAGUUCGGCUUGCCUCGCAGCAGCGCUGCCAUUACCGUCAUGGCUGCAUCAACGGCUGCGCUUGUCGUUCCAUGUCGUGCCAUGCACGGCAAGCCGGCAUCGGGACACAAGGUACGCACGCAGCACAGCCGUCGCUGGUGGAUGCAGUCCAAGGCGCACCACCUCACCGCCGUCCCGCAUGAAGAGGCUAGAUCACGCCCGCACUUCCCCGCCUACACCGAGGACGUCGACCAGCCAAUGGUCGUGCCCGACGGUGCGUGCUGCUUCAACUGCGAUAAGCCGAUCGAUGGGGACGACAUCAACAGCUACGUGUGGGUCCCGUCUGGCAAUGCAAGGGUGCCGACGGCGCAGGGGUACUUUUUCCACGUGAAGUGCUUCAAGUGCUGGAACUGCAAGUACCGCAUCAUACACAACCAGUUCUACUCGAAGGACAGACGCGCGUGGUGUCUAUCGUGCGCGCUCGGACGCGACAUCCGGGUGCCGACGCGGCGCUGGCACACUUCGUACGUCAAUACGCACCGCACGGGCUCUCGCCUGACAGGGCAAUUCUUCCCUCGCCACCGCCAUCAGAUGGAGUUCCUCUUUAGCCCAAAAGAGUAGAGCGAUGCGAAGGUGUGCCGCAGUAGCGUGGGUGGUGGGGUGCGAUGGCGUGUGUGUGUGUCUGGGGGGGAGAGGGGAGGGACACGCCAUUCACCUGCGAACACACGCACGCGCCUGUCGCAAACCAGGUAGUACUUAUGAGAGAGGCGCGGUGUGCAUGCGUCACGAGCCUCUGCCGCUCUGGUUCCCCCCUCCCCAUACCUCCACGCCACCACGAGGUGCGAAAGCAGUGAGUGUUGUUGUUGAGGGCUUCACACCCUCAUUGACUUUCAUGUGCGCACAGAAACGCGCACAGAUGAGUGCUCUCUUGCCUUGCUUGGCUUCCUUCGCCCUCCUCCCUCGCUGAUUGCCGCCGCGCUGUACUCGUACGCGCUUUUUGGGCGGCUUGCCGCACCGGCGUGUCUGUUGCGCGAGGGGUUGGGAGAACCUCGCCGGCGGCUAACGGACUCGGAU
RNAcentral lists this unclassified non-coding RNA (1308 nucleotides) under Leishmania donovani. RNAcentral's name for it is "gene:LdHU3.30.0420(CDS-product:LIM_domain_contain ing_protein_putative)". The record is from RNAcentral. Lineage: Eukaryota; Euglenozoa; Kinetoplastea; Trypanosomatida; Trypanosomatidae.